UUAAGCGACUAAGCGUACACGGUGGAUGCCCUGGCAGUCAGAGGCGAUGAAGGACGUGCUAAUCUGCGAUAAGCGUCGGUGAGGUGAUAUGAACCGUUAUAACCGGCGAUUUCCGAAUGGGGAAACCCAGUGUGUUUCGACACACUAUCAUUAACUGAAUCCAUAGGUUAAUGAGGCGAACCGGGGGAACUGAAACAUCUAAGUACCCCGAGGAAAAGAAAUCAACCGAGAUUCCCCCAGUAGCGGCGAGCGAACGGGGAGGAGCCCAGAGCCUGAAUCAGUGUGUGUGUUAGUGGAAGCGUCUGGAAAGGCGCGCGAUACAGGGUGACAGCCCCGUACACAAAAAUGCACAUACUGUGAGCUCGAUGAGUAGGGCGGGACACGUGGUAUCCUGUCUGAAUAUGGGGGGACCAUCCUCCAAGGCUAAAUACUCCUGACUGACCGAUAGUGAACCAGUACCGUGAGGGAAAGGCGAAAAGAACCCCGGCGAGGGGAGUGAAAAAGAACCUGAAACCGUGUACGUACAAGCAGUGGGAGCCUCUUAAUGGGGUGACUGCGUACCUUUUGUAUAAUGGGUCAGCGACUUAUAUUCUGUAGCAAGGUUAACCGAAUAGGGGAGCCGAAGGGAAACCGAGUCUUAACUGGGCGUUAAGUUGCAGGGUAUAGACCCGAAACCCGGUGAUCUAGCCAUGGGCAGGUUGAAGGUUGGGUAACACUAACUGGAGGACCGAACCGACUAAUGUUGAAAAAUUAGCGGAUGACUUGUGGCUGGGGGUGAAAGGCCAAUCAAACCGGGAGAUAGCUGGUUCUCCCCGAAAGCUAUUUAGGUAGCGCCUCGUGAAUUCAUCUCCGGGGGUAGAGCACUGUUUCGGCAAGGGGGUCAUCCCGACUUACCAACCCGAUGCAAACUGCGAAUACCGGAGAAUGUUAUCACGGGAGACACACGGCGGGUGCUAACGUCCGUCGUGAAGAGGGAAACAACCCAGACCGCCAGCUAAGGUCCCAAAGUCAUGGUUAAGUGGGAAACGAUGUGGGAAGGCCCAGACAGCCAGGAUGUUGGCUUAGAAGCAGCCAUCAUUUAAAGAAAGCGUAAUAGCUCACUGGUCGAGUCGGCCUGCGCGGAAGAUGUAACGGGGCUAAACCAUGCACCGAAGCUGCGGCAGCGACGCUUAUGCGUUGUUGGGUAGGGGAGCGUUCUGUAAGCCUGUGAAGGUGUGCUGUGAGGCAUGCUGGAGGUAUCAGAAGUGCGAAUGCUGACAUAAGUAACGAUAAAGCGGGUGAAAAGCCCGCUCGCCGGAAGACCAAGGGUUCCUGUCCAACGUUAAUCGGGGCAGGGUGAGUCGACCCCUAAGGCGAGGCCGAAAGGCGUAGUCGAUGGGAAACAGGUUAAUAUUCCUGUACUUGGUGUUACUGCGAAGGGGGGACGGAGAAGGCUAUGUUGGCCGGGCGACGGUUGUCCCGGUUUAAGCGUGUAGGCUGAUUUUCCAGGCAAAUCCGGAAAAUCAAGGCUGAGGCGUGAUGACGAGGCACUACGGUGCUGAAGCAACAAAUGCCCUGCUUCCAGGAAAAGCCUCUAAGCAUCAGGUAACAUCAAAUCGUACCCCAAACCGACACAGGUGGUCAGGUAGAGAAUACCAAGGCGCUUGAGAGAACUCGGGUGAAGGAACUAGGCAAAAUGGUGCCGUAACUUCGGGAGAAGGCACGCUGAUAUGUAGGUGAAGCGACUUGCGGAUGGAGCUGAAAUCAGUCGAAGAUACCAGCUGGCUGCAACUGUUUAUUAAAAACACAGCACUGUGCAAACACGAAAGUGGACGUAUACGGUGUGACGCCUGCCCGGUGCCGGAAGGUUAAUUGAUGGGGUUAGCGGCAACGCGAAGCUCUUGAUCGAAGCCCCGGUAAACGGCGGCCGUAACUAUAACGGUCCUAAGGUAGCGAAAUUCCUUGUCGGGUAAGUUCCGACCUGCACGAAUGGCGUAAUGAUGGCCAGGCUGUCUCCACCCGAGACUCAGUGAAAUUGAACUCGCUGUGAAGAUGCAGUGUACCCGCGGCAAGACGGAAAGACCCCGUGAACCUUUACUAUAGCUUGACACUGAACAUUGAGCCUUGAUGUGUAGGAUAGGUGGGAGGCUUUGAAGUGUGGACGCCAGUCUGCAUGGAGCCGACCUUGAAAUACCACCCUUUAAUGUUUGAUGUUCUAACGUGGGCCCCUAAUCGGGGUUGCGGACAGUGUCUGGUGGGUAGUUUGACUGGGGCGGUCUCCUCCUAAAGAGUAACGGAGGAGCACGAAGGUUGGCUAAUCCUGGUCGGACAUCAGGAGGUUAGUGCAAUGGCAUAAGCCAGCUUGACUGCGAGCGUGACGGCGCGAGCAGGUGCGAAAGCAGGUCAUAGUGAUCCGGUGGUUCUGAAUGGAAGGGCCAUCGCUCAACGGAUAAAAGGUACUCCGGGGAUAACAGGCUGAUACCGCCCAAGAGUUCAUAUCGACGGCGGUGUUUGGCACCUCGAUGUCGGCUCAUCACAUCCUGGGGCUGAAGUAGGUCCCAAGGGUAUGGCUGUUCGCCAUUUAAAGUGGUACGCGAGCUGGGUUUAGAACGUCGUGAGACAGUUCGGUCCCUAUCUGCCGUGGGCGCUGGAGAACUGAGGGGGGCUGCUCCUAGUACGAGAGGACCGGAGUGGACGCAUCACUGGUGUUCGGGUUGUCAUGCCAAUGGCACUGCCCGGUAGCUAAAUGCGGAAGAGAUAAGUGCUGAAAGCAUCUAAGCACGAAACUUGCCCCGAGAUGAGUUCUCCCUGAGACUUUGAGUCUCCUGAAGGAACGUUGAAGACGACGACGUUGAUAGGCCGGGUGUGUAAGCGCAGCGAUGCGUUGAGCUAACCGGUACUAAUGAACCGUGAGGCUUAACCUU
Molecule: ribosomal RNA, 2903 nt
Filed under: Escherichia coli KTE189
Lineage: Bacteria; Pseudomonadati; Pseudomonadota; Gammaproteobacteria; Enterobacterales; Enterobacteriaceae
Description: bacterial LSU rRNA
Rfam family: Bacterial large subunit ribosomal RNA
Source: RNAcentral